This is a long non-coding RNA of Bombus huntii, 8713 nucleotides long. RefSeq lists it as uncharacterized. Lineage: Eukaryota; Metazoa; Arthropoda; Insecta; Hymenoptera; Apidae. The record is from RefSeq and is a predicted model, not a curated record. The transcript is spliced from 2 exons.
AUAUUCGUCGGUAUCCGCUCGAAGUAAUUUACGUUUAUUAUUAUCUGUUAAAUCUACCAUAAGCGAGAUUGCGUCGAUGGCUCGUAAUAUUUAAUUUCAUUCUUACGAGAUACACGCGCGAGAUAGUGAUUUUGUUGUUGAGAAUAAUUCUACCGUAUUCUACGUUUUCCAUUCUACAAAAAUAUGCCAAAAGUAUAUGCCACAAAAGCGCAGGCCGUUUUUCCAAACAUUUUGAUUCUUCAAUUUCUAACGUUUUCAAAAAUUCAAAACCGGGGGAAAAAGAAAAAUUAUAAAACAACUACACGGAGAAUAACAGAAACAUUUACAGAAAAAUAUCUAAGUUCCUUCGUGAAAUUUCCAAAAAAUACAAAAAUCACCGAACAAUACAACGAUGCGGAUGAUAAGAAGUAAAGGAGAGAGAAGAAAGAGAAACGAACGCGUAGGUGGUUGUGGUGCUGAUAUUAAACGCGAUCAAAGUGCAUCUGAGUAAGAAUCGAAGAGGAGACCGCGCGGUGGCAAGCCUGCGAAUCGGAUUCGCUUUCGGAGGUCGUAUGCACAUGUGGCUGCUUAUCGCUCGGCGCGGGUGCAUGCACGUGGGUGGGACCGAGAGGGCGAUAUGCACACACGCGGGCAUCCGGUGCAGCACGCUGCUGCACCGUCGAGAGAGAGUACAAACGGCUGAAAGCGAAACGUAAACAAACAGGUAGCUCUUCAUCCAAACCAAAUAGCGGGGGAGUAAAACUGUGCUCGGCGCGCUGUCGGCAGUUGCCGACGCGAGCACGGAAACUUUCUUCCCUUUGUUUCCCAUUAUAUUUCCACAUUACUUUUUUAAACGCCCCGUUAAAUAGUAAGCGCCGCGAGUCUCGCGCGCAAUUUUAGCCAUUAGAACAAAACGAAGGAAAAGAGCGAAGGGCGGUGUGGAGGGCGGAGAAUGAAAGAGACACGUAAACAAGACAGGCAAAAGGGUGAAAAAGAAGGGAGAGAGAGAGAGAGAGAGAGAGAGAAAUAGAAGUUUCAACGCCGUGAAAUUCGCGUACCCCGUAAUACCUGCUUGUUUGCAUCCCUGUAUUCUACUAUUUUAUUACUGUAAGAUACAAACAGUUUCUAAAUUGUUAAAAGCGCGGAAGAAUUUUGUUGAAAUAGAUAUUGUUUCUCUGGGAUAAAAAUUCUGAAUCGUUGUGCAUUAUCGUUUGUUAGGAAGCUUUAUAUCGUGAACGAGAUUUAUUUAGAGUCGUGCGACUGGUUACUUUUAUAUUGCUGUAUUUUCUGUGUUUUCUUCUCGCGUUUCAUUGUAAACAGUAACGUUUAUGUUUAUAUUAAAAAUUAUUAUAUACGAACUAACCGAAUUGAAAUAAAGAGUUUUGUUAUACGACGAAUCUUUCUCGAAUUUGUUUUCUAUAGAUUAACAUAUCUUUGUACAAUUGGAUAAUUUUCUAAGUGGGGACAAGCUUAAUUUCUUUUUUAAAUUAGGAACGCUAUUUUUAUUUCAUACGACUGUUGACUACGUAUUUUUUCAGCCUCUUGAACGUUUCAAGAAUAUUAAUCGCUCUAAGACUAAUUUCACACCCAGUUACGUUUAGUUUCUACUAAAAAGCCUUGUAGAUUUCUUUUCAAAACGAUUAUUCCGGUUUUUAAACAUAUUACGUUAAAAAACUUCCUUUCAGCCACCACAAAGUAAUAUGAAAAAUUAUACUUAUCGUGUCUUUCCUCUGUAGUGUUUAAUUUAAAGAUGUAAAUCUUGAUCGAGUCGCUUAUUUCCUAUCAUCCUACAAUUAAAUAUAAUUUUUUUGGAAUAUAAUAUAAUAUUAUAUCGCGUGAAACGAUGGGAAGUGUUUCGAUUGAAGAGAUAAAUCGGGUUCGAAAAAGUGCGUUUUAAAUGGACGUUUCCGCAGAUGGAAGCGCCGUUGAUUUAUGCGCAUCGUUAUGAGGUCUGAUUUAAUAUCUUGCUGCUCCUUGUUCACCGUUCCUUUUCUUUUUUUCUUCUAUUUUUUCUUUUUUUCUUUUUGUUUCUCUUCUUAAACGGAUCCUAUUUUCAACGAGAAUAUCGUUCGACAUUGAUCGGUGAUACAGGAAUUUUUAAUGAAAUCGUCGAGAAGGUUUCAGUAUCCCCUUGAACGAACUUCUACGUUUAUCGUCGAUCGUCGAUAUUCGGGAUUGUGUUUAAUUUAUCGGUCGCGGGAACCAGUUGAAGAAGUACUGCAAGCAAUCGUUAAUGUGACAGCCAAUGCAUUCUAAUGGAAAACUUCUAAUAACGAGUCGAUGUAUGAAAUUUAAUUAAAUGCAAUUAUACCUUGCUUGAUUAUCUUUAAAUUUCUAUUUCCAAUACGUUUCUUUCAUUCGUAUUUCACAGUAGCAUAGUUGAUUUAUAAUAUAUAUAGUUCUUUUAUUUUAAACUUUAAAUAUAUAUUUAUUUAUUUAUUUAUUUAUUUAUAUAUAUUUAAAGUUUCAGCAAUCACAGACAUGCAAAGAGAAAAGUAACCACAUCAAAUAAUUCGUGGCCAUCGUUUAAUCUAUACGAGCGACAGCAAUUAUAUUUUAAAUUGUUAUGAUCGUGCUGAGAAUGAAAUUAUCUCGAAUCAAUAAUUUAUACCGCUGUUCAGAAAUAAUUACAUAUCUAAAUAAUUACGUACAUCUUAUUCGAUAUUUUCACUAUUAUCAACUUACACAACUAUAUAUUAUCAACUAAAGUUAAUUAACGAUUAGGAAUGUGUAUUACGCAUGGAUUCAUAGCGUUCCAAAUGGUUGCAUACAGCAUGCGGAUACGUACAUGGUUUCACAGGGCUUGGUGAACAAUUUUUUUGAAGAUUAUAAUACCGAUUCAUAGCGCUGGAAAGGUUAACCCUUUCACACUCGUGUUACGUAUAACGCAACAUCAUAGUUUAACAGAUUAUUAAGUAAGCGAUGAAUAUAUCCGUUUUUGAUAAAACCGGUGUUAAAUUUUAAUAUAUCGUAUCUUCUUCUAUAAAAGCAUCAGAAAAGAUGUAUUUCCAUUAUAAAUAACACUGGUUAAUAAAGUUUUUGACAUAAUAGUACCUAUCUUUGUACUGAAUUCUAAUAUGUAUUCAAAUUUUUUUCAUCACCUAUAGUCAUUACGUGACUGCAUUCUUUAUUACUUAAUAAUUACUGAUACAGUUACACUAAUAGAGAUUUAGCGUACAAGAUGUCUUUGAAUAUCUGUCUAUUUGCGAGAUUACCAGCGGAGUUUCCAUAUACUAGCUAACUACUAUUGGAUGAGUUAAACGGGAUAGUUUUCAAAUCAAAUGUUCCAGGAAGUCGUCGAUCAUCUUCGGAUAAUACUUUAUUAAACUAUGUGUCACUAAAAAAUCCUAUGUGACGAAACCAGAUUUCAUAUCUAAAUUCAGCACGAGGAAUGCAAUUGAAAUGACGUAUAAAAAAGUACAAAAUAAUUAUAAACCAGCGUAUCUAAUCAAUGAAAAGGAUGGAAUCUCCUUCAACCAAAUCUAUAGCUCAACUAAAAUUUUCUCUUUCGUAAUCUUAAAACUUGCACAUUGCGCGAGAUGAAAGCUAUAUGACUUUUGAACAACCCCAUCUCUCUCUCCCUCUCCCUCUCUCUUACUCACUCACUCUCUCCUUUGGUAAUUUUCACGAAAUUUUCCGUAAACCGAAGAAAGUCGUUAAAUUGAACCAAAGAAAUUGGAAAUUUUCCGAUUGACAUUUUCAAAAUCGUGAUCAAUCGUUUUCUCCGAAAGCCGAAAUGCCGGGUGUUCGGCAUUCGUCGAGUCCGAUGACUGAGAAUACAGUUGCUUUUGUGCACCGUUAAAGAAUUAAAGAGCGUGCAGUUUUGCAUUGCGCGCGGCUACGAGCGGCAACGACGAGCGAGAAACGCGACGACGACAAUGCAAACGCUUCCACUCGCAACGGCAAUUGUUCGCGGAAUAAUGUCCCGCUAAGAUACAAAGAAAAACUGGUAUCUGCAGUCGAUUCCGCGUAACGGCCAAGGUAAACGCCUGUGCAGCUUGCAAAAAGCACGAAAAGGGAUUGCGCGUGGCUCGUCGAUAAUCGUACGACAACGCUCUCUUCAACGCGUAACUCUCUUUCUCUUUGAGAAAGCUACGAACCGAUAUAAUGAACAUUCUUCUUCGCGUACACGGCUGUUUUUUUUUUCACAUCGCAAACCCUUUCCAGCGGUGGCUCUUUCGCGUCUAAAUCGGCGUUCUUGCUCGAUUUUACCCACCGAUCAAAGCGAUCCUUUCGUUUGACGAGUUUAAAAACGGCCGCUGCAUCGCGCGUUCCGAGUUUCGCCGUUCCAAUGAAAAUUUACCCACGUAAAUUAUUUCUCGUUCGUGUACAAGCGUUAAAAUGUCUUUCCUUUUUGGUUGCAAGCUCGUUUCUUUGUUUCUUCGCGAGGAGAAAGCUCUCGCGCGGAUAUGAAUAUUCUUUUCGCGUCCGUAGUUUGAAUGGGUCGCCUUCCAAACGGAUCGACGAUCUUCUGCGUGUAGGAUAUAGCUACUAUCGUUGACACGGAGUCUACUACCAAAUUUUUGUAUACGAAGUUUUUUAAAUUGAACAAAGAAUACUUUUACUGUGUUUUACUGCGAAUUGUUAUUUUUCGUAGAAAGGACACAAAUAUUUAUAUAACUGAUAAAAGGAAGUAAAUUUUAUACGAAGGUUCCUUUUUGUUUACGCACAAAUCUUAAGUGACAUCUCUACUUUCAAAAUACCUGCUUGUUCGGUUUGUUCUUUUUUUUCAUUUUAUGCCGCAAGUUAAUAUGUAAAUUGCAAUAGAGCAAAGUAACGCGCUAAUGAUGGAAAUAAGUCAGACGUAGAAUCGUUGGAGAAUCUAUGCGGCUUAAUUAAUUUCUUUCGUACGAUAAUAAAUAGUUUAUGACAGAAAGAUGUUAUUAAAACGAUAGUUUUUAUUCUAAUAUUUAUGAGAGUAUAUUUAAAGUAAUUCUAGAACGACACAGAGCAUUUAUUUGUUUAAUUAGUUCCUUUCGUUUCGCGCGACGAAUAUCCUUGUUUGUUAAAUAAUGAUAAACGAAUCACAACGGAAAGAUAUUAACGUGAAAAUUUCAAUACAAAGGCAACGGUUAUUUAACUUAUUAUAAUAAAAAGGCCCGGUAAUAAUAAACGGAUAGUGUAUAUAAAAAGCAUUGUGCUUGAACGCUUAAAAACGCUUGCCUGAAAUUGUUAUUACUUAAAAGAAACAUUACCGAUAGAUAAAUUACAUGAAACUAUUUCCCUGAAAAAUAAGAAGACCAAGAAUGAGAAUAAAAAUUACAAUUCUUCGCCUUUCUCUAACUUUCUACUUAACAGUUCACUUCCAUCGCUAUACCUGUUAACCAAAAUACCACGAUUUAUCAUUCAUAAAUAUCACAUCGCCUAUUCCUAUGGAUCCAAAUAAAUCCUAUUAAAUUGACAAAAAUUCUUCACCACGCUCACCACAAGUCCUAUGAAAUCAUAGAAAAGAACGUUCAUUACGGGGUCGAAUAAAAAGCAAGGGCGAUCAAUUUUGCGUCUUAUUAGGUAUACCCAAUAUAUCAUGGUAAGCGAGUUAAUAGUAAAAAGAAAUGGUAAGAAACACCACGAUAUCGAGCACAAGAACUAUCGUUUACGUGCGUCACGGUGCCAAGUGUGAUGGAAAGGAAACGAGUCCUCACUCCGCUCGAUUUUAUGUGUCGACCAAGGUAAAGCAGCGUUACGAACGGUGCGUAGUUACUCAGGAGUAAAUGAGUAGGUCAGGAAAGGUUAUGAAUCAUCGUGCGAAACGAAUUUCACGGCGCGCGUCGCUUCGAGCCUGAGAUCGAAAAAGUGCCGGCCGAAAAAAUUUAUCCGCGGAAUAUGGAGAUGAUUCGGGACGGGGUACGAUAGAGCUUGGAGGGAAAUUUAUCGAGAUAGAGUGCGGAGGAAGAGAAACCACGGGCAUGAGAAAAAUUUCUUUCGCUCCACUGCCGGAUUUCUUUUAGGAAGCUGAUUCGCGCCUGCAUUUUAAUAUGGAUCAUCGGUGUAAUCGAGGGAAACCAGUUUUUAAUCGCCAGUGAAACUAUCGCAGUUUAGAAAGAAACGGAGAAAAUACAAUUUUUUUGUAUUCCUUACGUGCUUUCUUUUUGGUCUGGAAAUGGUUUUGGCGUUAAUAGAGAAAGUGUUAUUCUUGGCUACGACCGCUUCUUUCUUUAAUGAUCGAUAAAUGUUGGUGAGAAUUAUAACAACGACGAUUAAAAAUUAGAAUAUAUAGAUAUAAUAUUGCAAUAUUAAACCGAAUGGUAGUAAAUUACGAAUAAAUUACAAAUGAAGUUAUGAUUUACUGUACCUAUUAUCUGCAACAGUUUGAUAUUUUUCAUAAAUUUCCAAAAAAUGGCAGAAAAUUGCUUUUUAAGAAAAGAUCUCUUAUCGUAACUUUGUACUUGCGUAUUUCGCUCUUUAUCUUUUAAUCGAGGGUUAGAGUAGAGGAAUGAUUGAUCGUAAGUAACGAAUUUGAUGAAUUUCGACGAUUCAUUGAUCACGUUGCCUUUCCAUUUGUAAUUUCGAUAACUCAUAUCAAAGUUUCAUAUCGAAUUAAUAGUCCAGUAACACUAUUGAAGUUAAUAGGAUCUCUAUGAAAGUUCAUUAAGUUUUGAUCGUUAGUGUUACGAAACGCGAACGAUAUUUUUUACAGUACAUUUUUAACAAAUUAGUUAAUCGCAAUAACAUAAGGUCGAGCAAAACUGCGCGCAUUUAUUUUCGAAAGGCAGUGGAGCUUCUUUUACAAGCUAGUUUUACAAGAACGAAGUAAAACUAUGCACUGUAGUUAUCUCUGUAUGCACACGCGAUUAACUUAAUUCAGCUCUAUACAGAAUAAAACUUUUGAAACUUUAGCGGUUCCAGUUCUCGGACUCGGCGUUGCUUAAAACUUCUAGAUAUCCACCACCUUCUCCAACUUCCCAUGAAACUAGCCACAAACGUUCCAAAAGAAAGAUUCUAUUCGCAAGACACAAGCUAAAGUGCCUAUUUCUUAAAUAGGAAGAUGCUCGUUUUCAAAUUUACGUAGACUGAUUUUAACAAAUCUUUCUCAAACGACCUGGAUAAUAUCGCGAGGAAAACGUGGUAUAAUAUUCUGCGGAAAUGAAAUGUUAUGGUGUGGUAUAUUCGAAUCCAUUGCAGCUGUCAGGGAAAAAUAUAUAAAAUUCACGUAGCAGUCAACGAGUUAAUAACGCCUGAAAGUUUCCAUUUAGCCAAGAAUUUCCCGCAACAUUCGCUAUCCCGAUCAAUCACUCUCGUUACCAGGAAAGAACGAUCGAAGCUAGGACAGCCCGAUUAAAACGAAGCCAAGUACGCUCUCGUCGGUUCCGUGGAGGAAGCGGCUGCUGACAACGCGAUUCACGGAGUUCCAUGGAAGUCGAGGCAGUGAAAGGAAAGAUUGGAGAGUAGCUGGCGGGCGAGUACGGCGGCACUGCUGAAGAACUUGUACAGGACAAGGAGAGGAAUAGGGCGGUCUUCGUGGCGAUUCGUUGACGCAGGGCAAAGAAGUGGCUCAUCGUCACGCUGUCUGCCAUCUGCGUGCUACUGCCUCUUCAAAUGACCGAUCCGCAGCGCUUCUGUUACGGGGGUAGGCGCAACAUCGCGUGAAAGAUCGCGCGAGAUAGUCGGGAAAGAGAGGUGAAAAAAGAAAUUUCUUCGCCGAGUGGAAACGCGACGGAUGUCGUGCGGUUGGGAAAAAAUGUGUCGUGCGGUUUUACGAGUAUAAUUGAUGUAAAUCGACGAUUAGAACCGUCUCUGGUAGUUUUAUUCGGUACGAUUAAUGUAACGAGCCAGAUACUAAGAUCGCGAAGAGUUGAAAUUGAAUUCGGAGUUGAUUUAAAUUCAAAUGAUCAUUUUGCCGCGUAGACGAUGCGUUAAGAAAUUUAUAUACAAUUGAAAAAGUGAUAAAUUAAAGAAUUAUUUAAAGACUAGUUGAUUGUAUAUAGCUUACCAAUUAUAUAGACAGGAUGCUUCGCUGGAGAAUUACCGGAGAAGUAAAAAGCGCCGAUAAAAUUGCCUAUAAUCCGAUUUCAAGAGGAUGAAAAAUACAAUGCAACGUAGUUAUGUAUAUUACGUUUAUGUAAGAAAAUAGUUAUGUAUGUAUGUAGAGCGUCGAUUAGAAUUAUAGAAAAAUUAUAAUUGUGAAAAUUAGAUAUAUCAUGUAUAGAAAAUAUGACUGAACAUGAAGCUCCAAACAGGUCGAGUUGAUUUAAGGCAUUAUAAACACUAUAUAUUGCCGCACAAUACUGGCAAUAUACAAAAUGAAAAUAAUAUGACGUAACGCGAAAGAAUAUUUCAAGUCAAGCAAGUGAUAGUUUCAGGCUGGUAAAAAGAUUUCACGUUGCAGGAAUUUUAAUUACUGGAAUCCACGUACGUUGACUAAUUUGAACGAAGCUUUAGAAACCAAUGAGAUGGCGCGGAGGAUAUUUUAUUUGGAUACAUACCGUUCGUGUUUAUCUUCAAAUUGCGAUUGUAUUGCCAGCUAUUGUUCAUUGUACCGCUAUCAAAUGAAGUUGUAAUGUUAUAAAUGAUGUAUAAACGCGGUACAACUCUGUUAUGAUUGUAAUUUAUUAUUAUGCGUCGAAUGUAUGGGUAAAUGUUGACGGAUACUGGUUGCUAUACAAAUAAACGUAUAUAAUUUCGUAACGGUCGUUUCGGAAUAUUGUGUCCACAGAAAUUAUUAUAUAUUAAAUUUUCAAUUUGCUGUCAAUGAAAUUCGCAUUAUGUAUUAUUAAUAAUAACCAUUGUAUUUUUU